AGAAAGAAAGAAAGAAAAAAAGAAAAGAAAAAGAAGACGAACAAGAGGUGAUGGCGAGGGGAACCUUUGCUAAUAUUCACAUUGUUAACAAGCUCUUGAAGGGAGAAGCCAAAGACAGUUCACAUUCUAAUAGGCGAGAAGCUCUAUGUUUUUUAUACGGCGAUGAGGUACAAGGCUUAUAGCCAUGACACCAUUGUCCUGGCUGGAGCUGAGUAUGGAAGUGGAAACUCUCAAGAUUGGGUUGCCAAGGGUCCAAUGUUGUUGAUGCCAUUAAUGCAAUAAAUGGAACAAUCAUUACUUAUGGACAGGGUUAUAAUGUUGUGUUGAUCUCCAACCAUCAGACAGAAGCUGAACCAAUGAUAAUUGCCUUGUUGCUUGAGACAUCACACCCUCAUGCUACUGAGAAGAUGGAAUGUUACAUUUGGGCAGAGAACAUCACAGUAUAGAGGUGUUACAAGGCAUAGGUGGACUGGUAGAUAUGAAGCCCAUCUAUGGGACAACAGCUGCAAGAAGGCAGGCCAGACUAGAAAAGGCAGGCAAGGUUAGUAAAACAAUAGGGGGGUAACCAUUUUCAGCAUUGUUAGUUU
Molecule: long non-coding RNA, 587 nt
Organism: Magnolia sinica
Lineage: Eukaryota; Viridiplantae; Streptophyta; Magnoliopsida; Magnoliales; Magnoliaceae
Exons: 5
Source: RefSeq, a predicted model, not a curated record